Molecule: non-coding RNA, 109 nt
Organism: Acanthosepion pharaonis
Lineage: Eukaryota; Metazoa; Mollusca; Cephalopoda; Sepiida; Sepiidae
Source: the annotation of a GenBank genome assembly
UUACGGCCAUAUCAUGUUGAAACACCGGUUAUCGAACGAUCACCGAAGUUAAGCAACAUCGAGCCUGGUAAGUACCUAGAAGAGUGACCGCUUGGGUAUUCAAGAUGCU